GACGAACGCUGGCGGCGUGCUUAACACAUGCAAGUCGAACGGAAAGGCCCUGCUUUUGUGGGGUGCUCGAGUGGCGAACGGGUGAGUAACAUGUGAGUAACCUGCCCUUGACUUUGGGAUAACUUCAGGAAACUGGGGCUAAUACCGGAUAGGAGCUCCUGCUGCAGGGUGGGGGUUGGAAAGUUUCGGCGGUGUGGGAUGGACGCGCGGCUUAUCAGCUUGUUGGUGGGGUAGUGGCUUACCAAGGCAUUGACGGGUAGCCGGCAUGAGAGGGUGACCGGCCACAUUGGGACUGCGAUACGGACCAGACUCCUACGGGAGGCAGCAGUGGGGAAUAUUGCCCAGUGGGCGGAAGCCUGAUGCAGCAACGCCGCGUGCGGGAUGACGGCCUUCGGGUUGUAAACCGCAUUCGCCUGUGACGAAGCGUGAGUGACGGUAAUGGGUAAAGAAGCACCGGCUAACUACGUG
RNAcentral lists this ribosomal RNA (468 nucleotides) under uncultured bacterium. RNAcentral's name for it is "partial 16S ribosomal RNA". It matches the Rfam family "Bacterial small subunit ribosomal RNA", at positions 28 to 507 of the family's 1533-position model. The record is from RNAcentral.